This 1037-nucleotide ribosomal RNA is filed under the name uncultured Bacteroidota bacterium. RNAcentral describes it as "bacterial SSU rRNA". It matches the Rfam family "Bacterial small subunit ribosomal RNA", at positions 9 to 1046 of the family's 1533-position model. The record is from RNAcentral. Lineage: Bacteria; Pseudomonadati; Bacteroidota.
GAGUUUGAUCCUGGCUCAGGAUGAACGCUAGCGGCAGGCCUAACGCAUGCAAGUCGAGGGGUAACAGAAAAGCUUGCUUUUGCUGACGACCGGCGCACGGGUGCGUAACGCGUAUGCAACCUACCUCAUACUGGAGGAUAGCCCCUGGAAACGGGGAUUAAUACUCCAUAGUAUCACAAUUUCGCAUGUUAUUGUGAUUAAAGUUUUUCGGUAUGAGAUGGGCAUGCGUCCCAUUAGCUUGUUGGUGAGGUAACGGCUCACCAAGGCAACGAUGGGUAGGGGGCCUGAGAGGGUGGUCCCCCACACUGGUACUGAGACACGGACCAGACUCCUACGGGAGGCAGCAGUGAGGAAUAUUGGUCAAUGGAGGAAACUCUGAACCAGCCAUGCCGCGUGAAGGAUGACGGCCCUAUGGGUUGUAAACUUCUUUUAUAGAGGAAGAAACUUGUCUACGUGUAGACAACUGACGGUACUCUACGAAUAAGGAUCGGCUAACUCCGUGCCAGCAGCCGCGGUAAUACGGAGGAUCCAAGCGUUAUCCGGAUUCAUUGGGUUUAAAGGGUCCGUAGGCGGAUUUUUAAGUCAGUGGUGAAAGCCGACAGCUCAACUGUCGAACUGCCAUUGAUACUGGAAAUCUUGAGUACAAAUGAAGUAGGCGGAAUGAGUCAUGUAGCGGUGAAAUGCAUAGAUAUGACAUGGAACACCAAUUGCGAAGGCAGCUCACUAAACCAUUACUGACGCUCAUGGACGAAAGCGUGGGGAGCGAACAGGAUUAGAUACCCUGGUAGUCCACGCCGUAAACGAUGAUCACUAGAUGUUGGCGAUAUAAUGUCAGCGUUCAAGAGAAAUCGAUAAGUGAUCCACCUGGGGAGUACGUUCGCAAGAAUGAAACUCAAAGGAAUUGACGGGGGCCCGCACAAGCGGUGGAGCAUGUGGUUUAAUUCGAUGAUACGCGAGGAACCUUACCAGGGCUUAAAUGUAGUUUGACCGGCUUGGAAACAGGCCUUCUCUUCGGAGCAGAUUACAAGGUGCUGCAU